RNAcentral lists this transfer RNA (82 nucleotides) under Sinobacterium caligoides. RNAcentral describes it as "bacterium SCSWE24 tRNA". It matches the Rfam family "tRNA". From Rfam's summary of the family: Transfer RNA (tRNA) molecules are approximately 80 nucleotides in length. Their secondary structure includes four short double-helical elements and three loops (D, anti-codon, and T loops). The record is from Rfam by way of RNAcentral. Lineage: Bacteria; Pseudomonadati; Pseudomonadota; Gammaproteobacteria; Cellvibrionales; Spongiibacteraceae.
GCCAGCAUGGUGGAAUCGGUAGACACGCCGCAUUCAAAAUGCGGUUCCGAAAGGAGUGACGGUUCAAGUCCGUCUGCUGGUA